AAGAGAAAAGUUAAAUUUUAGCUAUUCUCAGAAAAGGUGAACUGAUGGUUGUUAACCAAGGCAGGCUAGAGAUGUUUCAGAGGAGGGGGAGCAGGGCAGAAGAUUUCCUGUAGUGUCUAAAUCUUCUGUAAGUUUUCUUACCUUUCUGGGUUGUCUUUUUCUUUUCAACAUCGACCACAAGGCUUUGUUUUUUGUUUUUUUUCCUAGGAACGGGUGGAAGGAUAUCUAGCUGAAUUGAAAUUGACAAAACUGGGUAACUCAGACAGGGCAGCCUCCGGAGAGGCCUUUAACCACAAAAGAGGUAUUGAAGUCAAUAUAAUCAAUAGAGUGUUGUGGAUGCAGGAGGAAGAUGAUGAAACCCAUCAAAUUUGAUCACUGGGCAGGAGUGGUCAGUGUCAGCUUCUUAAAGAAGGCUCACUUAAUGUCACCCUCCACUCAAAGCUUUCCACACCUAUGCUAAUACUAUAGGCUGCAUGGCUUGCACUGCCUUGAGCACUCAGGAACCUCUGCAUUGUAGAUGUAUACAUUUCCUGAACUUCUAGGUUUUAGAACUUUCAUUUCAAGUGUCCAUUUCAAUUAGUCAUUACUCACCUCUCUGAAGGCUUGUUCAAUCAUUCAUUAGUUUGUUCUGCUGUAAUUUAUCCAUAGUAACUUUUGGGAAAUCUGACCAGAGGAUCCUUGCCACUUUUCUUCUCAAGAGGUAGAGUCUGUUUCCCCAUCCUAACUCCUGAUGUGUUCUAAAAGUACAAGGCCAUGAUCCUUUAAGUCAUAGCCAAGUUCCAAUGUUGACAGCAGCCAUGAUGGCUAGAGGAGAGAGAAACUCAAGUGAAGUUAGCCGCAAAUACUAACACACUGUGGUUAGCAAACAAAGGAGCUUAAAAUAAACU
This 887-nucleotide long non-coding RNA is filed under the name Mus musculus (house mouse). RNAcentral's name for it is "long non-coding RNA chr18:26208331-26209218". Lineage: Eukaryota; Metazoa; Chordata; Mammalia; Rodentia; Muridae. The record is from RNAcentral.